RNAcentral lists this ribosomal RNA (777 nucleotides) under Triticum aestivum (bread wheat). RNAcentral describes it as "partial small subunit ribosomal RNA". The record is from RNAcentral. Lineage: Eukaryota; Viridiplantae; Streptophyta; Magnoliopsida; Poales; Poaceae.
AUGAUCAUCCCUGCCGAGGCAGCGGCCGCGCCGGGCUACGUCGGCCGCAAGAGGCCUCACGAGCUCACCCUCGCCGUGUAUGAACCCGCCGCCGCGGAGCAACGGGCCAACGCGGCCGGCCUCUCCCUCUCCGGCGCUCUUGUCCCGUUCUUGGCGCCGCCCAUCGACGCCACGCCCAUCAAGGCCGUGCCGCUCUCCGCCGUCGCUCCCCGAGCCGAGCCAGCAUGGAUACGCCCCUACUUCGGCCUGCGGCUCGACCUGCCGGUGCACUUCAUCGAUGAGAAGGUCCUGACCGCCACCGACCUCGACCCGCAGCAGAACCGGUUCCGGCUCCCGACUGCGGGCGUGCUGCGCAGCCUCCGCCCGAUCCUCUCCCCCGAGGAGCUCUACGCCGCCAGCAUACCGCGUGAGGGCGCCAGGCCGCCGCCCCCGCCGACCGAGGAGGAGGAGCUGCAGCAGAGGAAGAAGAGGCAGGGCAAGAAGCACGGUGGGCUCCCCGUUGUCGUGUGCAACGUCCACGCCGGCACCAAGGCGUUGUAGCUGACGCAGUGGGAGAGCAGCCACGGCAACAUCAUCAAGGGGGAAGGGUACCUGGACUUCAUCACCCGGUGCUGCUUCGAGGAGAAGGACGUCGUCGAGAUCUGGGCCUUCAAGGAGCGCCACUUCCACCUCUUCGGCGUCGACAUGUGCCGUGCGAGCCCGCUCUACGUUGUGCUGGCCAAGAAAGAGCAGUGGCCGGCGGCGUCGUCCAUGGGGAUGGCCAAGUGUACGAUGUAG